GAUGAACGCUGGCGGCGUGCCUAAUACAUGCAAGUCGAGCGAACAGACGAGGAGCUUGCUCCUCUGACGUUAGCGGCGGACGGGUGAGUAACACGUGGAUAACCUACCUAUAAGACUGGGAUAACUUCGGGAAACCGGAGCUAAUACCGGAUAAUAUAUUGAACCGCAUGGUUCAAUAGUGAAAGACGGUUUUGCUGUCACUUAUAGAUGGAUCCCGGCCGCAUUAGCUAGUUGGUAAGGUAACGGCUUACCAAGGCGACCAUGCGUAGCCGACCUGAGAGGGUGAUCGGCCACACUGGAACUGAGACACGGUCCAGACUCCUACGGGAGGCAGCAGUAGGGAAUGUUCCGCAAUGGGCGAAAGCCUGACGGAGCAACGCCGCGUGAGUGAUGAAGGUCUUCGGAUCGUAAAACUCUGUUAUUAGGGAAGAACAAAUGUGUAAGUAACUAUGCACGUCUUGACGGUACCUAAUCAGAAAGCCACGGCUAACUACGUG
RNAcentral lists this ribosomal RNA (497 nucleotides) under uncultured bacterium. RNAcentral's name for it is "partial 16S ribosomal RNA". It matches the Rfam family "Bacterial small subunit ribosomal RNA", at positions 28 to 507 of the family's 1533-position model. The record is from RNAcentral.